GACGAACGCUGGCGGCGUGCUUUACACAUGCAAGUCGAACGGUGAAGGUGGAGCUUGCUCCGCCGGAUCAGUGGCGAACGGGUGAGUAACACGUGGGCAACCUACCCCUAACUUUGGGAUAACUACUCGAAAGAGUAGCUAAUACCGGAUAUGAAGUCUGUAGGCAUCUAUGGAUUUGGAAAGUUUUUCGGUUAGGGAUGGGCCCGCGGCCUAUCAGCUUGUUGGUGAGGUAGUGGCUCACCAAGGCGACGACGGGUAGCCGGCCUGAGAGGGCGACCGGCCACACUGGGACUGAGACACGGCCCAGACUCCUACGGGAGGCAGCAGUGGGGAAUAUUGCGCAAUGGGCGAAGGCCUGACGCAGCAACGCCGCGUGCGGGAUGAAGGCCUUCGGGUUGUAAACCGCUUUCAGCAGGGAAGAAGCGAAAGUGACGGUACCUGCAGAAGAAGCACCGGCUAACUACGUGCCAGCAGCCGCGGUAA
RNAcentral lists this ribosomal RNA (483 nucleotides) under uncultured bacterium. Its description in RNAcentral is "partial 16S ribosomal RNA". It matches the Rfam family "Bacterial small subunit ribosomal RNA", at positions 28 to 523 of the family's 1533-position model. The record is from RNAcentral.